AUAAAUUUGGCCGCAUUGCUCCGCGUGUAGUUUAUUCAAUGCUCUCGUCUGCUGGUGAAGAAGUGCUUUCAAGAUCGAAAUAAGAGGCUCAGAAAACUCCAAAGAAGCACAAAAUUCGAAGUCAAGGACAGGACUAAGGUAUUUAUUGCUAUUUUAUGUGAAAUAUUUUUACUUCAGCGAUUAAAAGUGUCGAAAUAACUUGUCGAAGUUGACGACCGCAAGUCGCUUCGCAUUUGGGCGUGUUUGCUAACGCAUUCGACUUUCGUCUCAUCCUCAGAGAAAAACGCUGAAUUUGAGCCUUGUUCAUUAUCAUUCGUUUAAAUUAUAGUAGAGAAAUACUUCGAUAAAGUAUUCAAGGUGUCUUAUAGCUAAAUUUGUUUUCAAAUUUGUCAUUUUAGUACAAACAAGACUGAAUGUUGAAUUCUCAAUCUCGUGACUCGUGGGACCAUGUGGCAUGUCUGCUGGUGAAGAAGUGCUUUCAAAAUUGAAAUAAGAAGCUCGGAAAACCCCAACGAAGCACACAAUUCGUCAACGACAGGACUAAGUCUAAGGUAUUUAUUGCUAUUUUAUAUAUGAAAUAUUUUUACUUCAGCGAUUAAAAGUGUCGAAAUAACUUGUCGAAGACUUUAACGACGGCAAGUCGCUUUGCAUUUCGCGUGCUUGCUGACACAGAGAAAAACGCCGAAUUAAGCCUUACUUCGAUAAAGUAUUCAAGAAUCAAGGUGUCUUGUAUUCAAGGUGUCUAAUUUGUUUUUUAAAUUUAUUUUAGUUCAAACAAGAAAUUAUGAAUUCUCAAUCUCGUGGGACCAUGUCAAGCAAAGUCUCUUUCUUGCUGGAAUUCAAAAGGAAAAACUAACUUGAUUUCUUCAAACCUCGAAGACUCGCCAGGCAACAAGUCCGACUCCAACAAGAGACAGACGAAACACGAGCUCAACCAAUGUGUGAUUUGAAAUCGAGCGUGGAUCAGUUUACGUCUCUCGUGUUCAAUGCAUAUGAUGGGGCUCGAAGAACAGUGACUCCUUUCUACCCUAUAGUCGUUCCGGUUGCUGUUAAAGACGUCGAACAAUUGUGGUUUAACAUCGCCGCCCCUCAGAGGAAGUAGAAACGUUAUUCAACACUCCAGAAAUGAAUACUUCACGAUGUGUGUCGCCGGCAAACCCAAUGUAUACCCCCACACUGCGGUAGGCAGUCAAGUUUUUAAAUCUACAUUUUUUUGUUUUUAUUGCCUAUUUUUUAUUUUAUUUUCAUAUAUCAUGACUCAUGACUUUUAUAGCUGGAAGGAGUUGAGAGAGCCCCACUCGACUGCAUGCCUUCUGAAUAAUGUUAAACUCUGUUUUACACGCUACCAUUUCGCCACUAGCACUGUCGCUGAGAAUUGUAUCGUAGCACAAGUUGAUCAUGAAAUUUGAAGGAACAACUGUUUCGUUUAGGGUACGCAUGGGCAGUGGCAUUGCAACUUUAUUAUUUUUCCAAGGUCUCUGUGAGACGUCCAGUCCUUCAGCAUGAGCAACAGUACAUGUAAAAAGAAAGGCG
Molecule: long non-coding RNA, 1533 nt
Filed under: Paramuricea clavata
Lineage: Eukaryota; Metazoa; Cnidaria; Anthozoa; Malacalcyonacea; Plexauridae
Source: RNAcentral